GGGGAUGACUUGUGGAUAGCGGUGAAAUUCCAAUCGAGCCUGGAGAUAGCUGGUUCUCCCCGAAAUAGCUUUAGGGCUAGCCUCAAGCGUAGAGAAACGGAGGUAGAGCACUGAAUGUCCUAGGGGGUAUUGCACUUACCGAAGACUAUCAAACUCCGAAUGCCGUUUUCUUUUACUUGGGAGUCAGACUGUGGGUGAUAAGAUUCAUAGUCAAAAGGGCAACAGCCCAGAUCGUCAGCUAAGGUCCCUAAAUGUACGUUAAGUGGUAAAGGAUGUGGGAUUGCACAGACAACCAGGAUGUUGGCUUAGAAGCAGCCACUCAUUUAAAGAGUGCGUAAUAGCUCACUGGUCGAGUGAUCCUGCGCCGAAAAUUUCCGGGGCUAAAACGUACUACCGAAGCUACGGCAUCAUUUAUGAUGGGUAGGGGAGCUUCGUAUGCAGGCUGAAGCAUGACCGUAAGGACAUGUGGACAGUAUACGAGUGAGAAUGUUGGCAUGAGUAGCGAGACGUGGGUGAGAAUCCCACGGGCCGUAAACCCAAGGUUUCCAGGGGAAGGUUCGUCCGCCCUGGGUUAGUCGGGACCUAAGCCGAGGCCGAAAGGCGUAGGUGAUGGACAACAGGUUGAUAUUCCUGUACCGCCAAUAAGCGUUUGAGAGAUGGAGUGACACAGUAGGAUAAGCUAACCGUACUGUUGGUUAUGUACGGCUAAGCAUUGAGGCAGUCUAAAUAGGCAAAUCCGUUUAGGCAAUGCUAGGAUGUGAUGGGGAAGCCCUUCGGGGCGAAGUAGCUGAUUUCACACUGUCAAGAAAAGCUUCUAUCGAGUUUAAAGGCGCCCGUACCGUAAACCGACACAGGUGGGUGAGGAGAGUAUCCUAAGGCCAGCGAGAGAACUAUUGUUAAGGAACUCGGCAAAAUGACCCCGUAACUUAGGGAGAAGGGGUGCCUGUCUAUGACAGGCCGCAGAGAAUAGGCCCAAGCGACUGUUUACCAAAAACACAGGUUUCUGCUAAGUCGCAAGACGAUGUAUAGGAGCUGACGCCUGCCCGGUGCUGGAAGGUUAAGGGGAUCUGUUAGAGCAAUCGAAGCAGUGAACUUAAGCCCCAGUAAACGGCGGCCGUAACUAUAACGGUCCUAAGGUAGCGAAAUUCCUUGUCGGGUAAGUUCCGACCCGCACGAAAGGCGUAACGAUCUGGGCACUGUCUCAACGAGAGACUCGGUGAAAUUAUAAUACCCGUGAAGAUGCGGGUUACCCGCGACAGGACGGAAAGACCCCAUGGAGCUUUACUGUAGCUUGAUAUUGAGUAUUUGUUAAACAUGUACAGGAUAGGUAGGAGCCAGAGAAAGUAGGACGCUAGUCUUACCGGAGGCAAUGUUGGGAUACUACCCUUGUUUGAUGGAUCCUCUAACUCACAGAGCUGAGCGUUCUGGAGGACAGUGUCAGGUGGGCAGUUUGACUGGGGCGGUCGCCUCCUAAAGUGUAACGGAGGCGCCCAAAGGUUCCCUCAGAAUGGUUGGAAAUCAUUCGCAGAGUGUAAAGGCAUAAAGGAGCUUGACUGCGAGACCUACAAGUCGAGCAGGGACGAAAGUCGGGCUUAGUGAUCCGGUGGUUCCGUAUGGAAGGGCCAUCGCUCAACGGAUAAAAGCUACCCUGGGGAUAACAGGCUUAUCUCCCCCAAGAGUCCACAUCGACGGGGAGGUUUGGCACCUCGAUGUCGGCUCAUCGCAUCCUGGGGCUGUAGUCGGUCCCAAGGGUUGGGCUGUUCGCCCAUUAAAGCGGUACGCGAGCUGGGUUCAGAACGUCGUGAGACAGUUCGGUCCCUAUCCGUCGCGGGCGUAGGAAAUUUGAGAGGACCUGUCCUUAGUACGAGAGGACCGGGAUGGACAUACCGCUGGUGUACCAGUUGUUCCGCCAGGAGCAUCGCUGGGUAGCUAUGUAUGGAUGAGAUAAACGCUGAAAGCAUCUAAGCGUGAAACUCGCCUCAAGAUGAGAUUUCCCAUUCCUUAU
RNAcentral lists this ribosomal RNA (2005 nucleotides) under human gut metagenome. RNAcentral's name for it is "bacterial LSU rRNA". It matches the Rfam family "Bacterial large subunit ribosomal RNA", at positions 800 to 2824 of the family's 2925-position model. The record is from RNAcentral.